AUCCUGGGUUCAGCUUCCCCUGUGAGAAGGACACAUAUAACAAUAAGAAAUUAAGGGUUCGGGAAGGAGAGGGGCCACCCUGUGCUCACCCCCACACAGCCCUGCAGGAAAACCCAGUGAACGGUGCCCAGGUGCCUGGCUGACUCCUGGGCCGGGAGGGGACAUGGAGGGACAGUGGCCAUCAGGCUCUUUGUGGACACUGGGGAUUAACUACUGCUCGUUCUCAGCUCACUGGUGUCCAGCCCAUCAAUAACCUCAUCAAUAACCUAACUUUGGUCAAUUAGGUUGGAGUCCGAAGGUGACUGAUUUGCGGCAAGGUUUUCUCUCUUCCUCUGUAAAGUGGAGUCCUUCAUCAUUCAUCGCAAGUAGACAACUCGCUUCCUAAUGCCUCUGCAUUAAGGAGCCAGGCGCUGCAGCUCUUUGGUACGUGACCUCAAAUAGAUUCAUGCGUCCUUCUGCUGACACGCUCCUGGGAAAUCCAGAAACUCUAGAGAAGCUUGUUUGCCAAACCUUGCUUUGGGCGGUGGAGACAGAAUAUCAUGUCCCAGAUCAGCGUGUGGUGACUGUGGAGGCAUUUACACACAGCACACUCCAGCUCUGCCACUGGGCCGGCUGAGGUGGCUGCGGUACACGGCGCCCAUCCUGAGCCCCAGGUUCCUCACAUGUCAACAGCAUGAAAAGUGCCUCUAAGACAUCCACAGGUGUGCAGUGUUAAAGCAGGUGAGUGUCCUAGUGUAGACUUAGCGGAGUGGGGCUAGGGCUGCGGGUAGUGGGUGUUCCGCCCCCGGCUUGCUACCCAGUCCUCCCUGUCCCUCAGAUCUGGCCCCAACCCUCAGGCAGACCCGUGUCUUCUCUUCCACCCCCUCCCUCCUCCUCCCUGGCACUCAGCCUUGCUCUUCUACUCUACCCUCCCUCCCCAGGCAGCGCCUCAGCUUGGUUAGCUCCCUUAAGGACUGCGGCUCCCUUAGGACAAGGCUCUGUCCCUCAGAGCACUGAGUGCGAUCUCAUGCUGGCAUCUUAGAGACAUUGUAUUCACCAGGUAAGAUGGAUUCACAUCUGCUGGGUGCACGAACACUUCCUCCUUCCUUGCCACCAGCCAGCAUCACAACCAGCCUGGCCAGGCUCCCGUCCCAGCCCAGCCUAGCAGCUAACCCCAGCUCCAUCCCCCAGCAAGCCCCUCUGCCUGCACCUCAGCUUCUUCAUGGAAGACGAGUCAGGUCAUGAUGCCACCAGGGAGCGUGUUUCCAUGUUGAACUGAGACACUAAGCCCUUGACAAAUGUUGGCCAAGAAAAAAAA
Molecule: long non-coding RNA, 1297 nt
Filed under: Homo sapiens (human)
Lineage: Eukaryota; Metazoa; Chordata; Mammalia; Primates; Hominidae
Description: long intergenic non-protein coding RNA 1018
Source: RNAcentral